RNAcentral lists this unclassified non-coding RNA (236 nucleotides) under Hevea brasiliensis (rubber tree). The record is from RNAcentral. Lineage: Eukaryota; Viridiplantae; Streptophyta; Magnoliopsida; Malpighiales; Euphorbiaceae.
GAGAAAGCAAAAGCUGAGAGAAUUAAGAGAAUUGAAUUGUGUACCUUGCCAGAUGUGGUGAGCCGUAUUUUUAGGGUUAGAAAUGACAUCUUGUUAUAUAGCGAUAUUCUCAACGGAAAUAUAAUACAUCCCAACAUGUACUCAACUUCUAAGAUAGUUCAUUUUAUCUGAAUAUCCUAACUUAUCCGAUCAUUCUAUGUUCUAACCAAAUACUUUACAUCUUAUCUGAACAUUUU